UAUAGUGUAGUAGAGCUCAUUUCUGAAAAUUAAUAAAGCAAAAUUUAAAUAUGUGAAAUCAUAUAAUAGAUAAAUAUAAUUUUUUUUGAAUUGUUUGGACUUAAAUUUAAAUAUAUUUUUCCUUCUCUUGUAUACAAAAUAUAAUUGUGAUUUUAUUCCAAUAAACUCAUAAAUUACAGUGCGAAUUUCGAUGAGGAAGCUACAAAAAAAAAUGUAGUGUACCAGAGUUAACCUUUAAAAAUCAGUGAUGUAAAAUUUAAAAUGCAAAAUCACAAAAUAGAUAAAUAUAAUUUGUUUGAUUGUUUGGAUUUAAAUUUAAAUUCUAAUAGAUAAAGUUUUUUAGCUCAUGGUUGAUGUUGUGGGCAUUUUCCAUCCUCUAUUAUUGAUAGGAAGUAAAUGAUUUAUUGAAAAGAGUAUUCAUCUUGUGUAUGAUAUUCUCUAUAAGCCAAUAUUAAAAAAAAUAGUAAAUAGUUUAUAUUUAAUUUUAAAUUUUAAAAUAAUUUUUUAAAAAAUAUAAUUUUUAUAAAUAGUUUUUUCUAAUAGCACAUAUUAUAGAGGUUUAAAUUGUAAUUUUAAAUUUAUAAAUUAGAAUGAUUGUGCUUUAUAUAUAUGGUUCAACGAACUUUAUUCUUCUGUACAUUAAGGAAGGUGGUGCCUAAGAAAUGUAUGUGCUCAUAGAAAUGAAUAGUUUAUAGUUUCUUCAAUUAGUAGAGAAAGAAAAAAAUUAUGUGCAAUCCUUUUAUCUUUAAAGCAUCGGAGAAUUGGAGAUUUAAAUAUUUUCUUCUACAAACAAAAAUAUUAGAAUUUUUUCAAUAAAUAAAGAAAUAAAAAAUUUAAUAUUUGAUUUCUUCAUCGUCUUAGCAUCCGAUAAAUGUGGUGUGAAGGAUCGAGAUAUAUCUUCUCCAAGAUACGAAAAAGUUUCUCUAAGAAAUAAAGAGUUAAGAGUUUUGACGAAAAGGUAUCUUUUCUAAAAAACGAAGAGAUUUCUCCAAGAAACGAAGAGGUUGAGGAGAUAUAUUUUGUCCAAGAAAGAAAGAGGUUUCUUAAAAAAAUAAAGAGAUUGAAUAAAAAAGUGUACACUUUAAAUAAAUAUAAUUAAUAAUUAUUAAAUAUUUAUAAAUUAUUUAUUUUUAUUAUUUCUCUUUUUUUUUCUAUAUAAGUUGCCAUAGGCAAUGACAUCAAUUAGAACUUGAAUUUGAAGAGAAAAGAACUAUUAGAAGAAAAUAUCCUGAAUAUUAUGUGAAUUUUAAUCAAUUUGGUGAUAUUUAUUUAAUUGGUCUUCAUACACUUACUGAACAGUUAGUUUUGUAAAAUUAUUUUUUUAAAAUUUUUUUGUUCAUAUGUAUUUUUUUGAAUUUUUUAAAAAAUUGAUUAUUUACUUAUAUUUGAGUGAGUUGUAUACAAUAAAAUUGGUACUUGUUGUAAUCUUUUUAAUUUACUUUCAUAUUUUUCGAUGAUUUGAUGAAUUAGUUGCAUAAUAACUUGCUUUCACGUUGUAAAUUAAUUAUCUUCUCUAAAAUAUGAUAUAAAAUAAUUAAUUAAUGGCUAAAUUACAUAAAACUUCCUUGUCAAAAUUCGUUUUUUUUUUUUUCUCUCUGUCAUUUAAAAACUUAUACUUUGCCUCCUUGUAAAAUAAAAAAUAGUCAUAGGGGGUACGGUAUAAACUGUGAUGACAAAAUGACCAUUUUGCCUCUCAUCAUUUUUGUCAACAGGAGAGAAGGCUGAGGAUAUUUUUGGCAUAAAAAUAUAUAAUAAUAUUUUAUAAACGGAACCCUAACGGAUCACUAACGGCAGGGAGUGAAGUGAACAUUUUUUAUUUUAUAAAAGAGCAAAGUGUAGGUUUUUAAAUGACAGGGGGGUAAUGUGAAAAAUCGAAUUUUGAUAGAAAAUUUUCUGUAAUUUAGCCGUAAUUAAUUAUCACUUUUAUCUUGUUAUUUUAAAAAAACUUUUGCUUUAGUACUUGACAUUUAUUUUGUAAUAACAACAAAUGGUUACAUCCUGACCGUUGAUAUUUCUAGGAAUACAAUCGAAAGUUUUAUUUGUUCAACUAAUAGUUAUUUUUUCUUUUCUAACAAAAUUUCAUAACUCAAUUGAGAGGGACCCAUAUAAAAUAUUACAAACUAUAAACAAAAUACACAUAAGUAUUAUAUAUAGAAAAUAUAGCAAAAAUAAAAACAAACAAACAUACAGAUAAACGCAAAUAAAUCAACUCACAGAUAAUCGCUAAAUCCCAAAAUUGUGGAAAAAGAAUAUCAACAUAUUAAUCCGGAAGCGUGCGAGGCACUGCCCUAAGGCGUAUUCCCGUCCUUACGUGCGGGAUUAACCGGAAAUAAUACCCCAAGGUACGACCGAAAUUCCUCAUUCUGCGAGCACGAUCGUGAAGGAGAUUGACGAAGAUUCUCAACACCCAGUGGAUAAGGGGAAUAUUCAAAAAUGAAAGAUAAAAGAAUAAAUGGAUAGAGAUUAACCAAUGAUCAAAAAUCUUUUUUACCUGCUCUAUCUUGAGUAAGAAGAAAAGGAAAAAGACCUAAAAAGGAAAGAGGAUUUUACGUUUUUUCUCUUACGAGAAAGAAGCGGAACCCGCCCAACGUAACGCGGAAGAAACGGAACGGAAAAAAAAUUCCAUUAGUUUCUUUCACAUUAAGAAAGAUAAUAAAAUAAUUAAAUAAAAUAAAAUAAAUAAAGUAGUAAAUAAAUAGAAUCAUAAAUAAUAAAUAAUAAAUAAUUUAAAGUUCAAAUAAAAUAAGUU
This 2749-nucleotide long non-coding RNA is filed under the name Ananas comosus (pineapple). RNAcentral describes it as "long non-coding RNA (ACOM_LNC037428)". The record is from RNAcentral. Lineage: Eukaryota; Viridiplantae; Streptophyta; Magnoliopsida; Poales; Bromeliaceae.